RNAcentral lists this ribosomal RNA (759 nucleotides) under uncultured cyanobacterium. RNAcentral describes it as "bacterial SSU rRNA". It matches the Rfam family "Bacterial small subunit ribosomal RNA", at positions 28 to 829 of the family's 1533-position model. The record is from RNAcentral. Lineage: Bacteria; Bacillati; Cyanobacteriota.
GAUGAACGCUGGCGGUCUGCUUAACACAUGCAAGUCGAACGGAAUCUUUCGGGAUUUAGUGGCGGACGGGUGAGUAACGCGUGAGAAUCUGCCUUCAGGUUCGGGACAACAGUUGGAAACGGCUGCUAAUACCGGAUGUGCCGAGAGGUGAAAGCUUAAGUGCCUGGAGAUGAGCUCGCGUCUGAUUAGCUAGUAGGAGUGGUAACGGCACCCCUAGGCGACGAUCAGUAGCUGGUCUGAGAGGAUGAUCAGCCACACUGGGACUGAGACACGGCCCAGACUCCUACGGGAGGCAGCAGUGGGGAAUUUUCCGCAAUGGGCGCAAGCCUGACGGAGCAAGACCGCGUGAGGGAAGAAGGUCUGUGGAUUGUAAACCUCUUUUGAUAGGGAAGAAGACAGUGACGGUACCUAUCGAAUCAGCCUCGGCUAACUCCGUGCCAGCAGCCGCGGUAAUACGGAGGAGGCAAGCGUUAUCCGGAAUUAUUGGGCGUAAAGAGUCCGUAGGUGGGUCACCUAGUCAGUUGUUAAAUAGUGAAGCUUAACUUCAUAGAGGCGACUGAAACUGGUGGUCUAGAGUGUGGUAGGGGUAGAGGGAAUUUCCAGUGUAGCGGUGAAAUGCGUAGAUAUUGGAAAGAACACCGGUGGCGAAAGCGCUCUACUGGGCCUGCACUGACACUGAGGGACGAAAGCUAGGGGAGCGAAAGGGAUUAGAUACCCCUGUAGUCCUAGCCGUAAACGAUGGAUACUAGGCGUUGCCCG